RNAcentral lists this ribosomal RNA (484 nucleotides) under uncultured bacterium. RNAcentral's name for it is "partial 16S ribosomal RNA". It matches the Rfam family "Bacterial small subunit ribosomal RNA", at positions 30 to 507 of the family's 1533-position model. The record is from RNAcentral.
AUUGAACGCUGGCGGCAGGCCUAACACAUGCAAGUCGAGCGGAUGAAGGGAGCUUGCUCCUGGAUUCAGCGGCGGACGGGUGAGUAAUGCCUAGGAAUCUGCCUGGUAGUGGGGGAUAACGUCCGGAAACGGGCGCUAAUACCGCAUACGUCCUGAGGGAGAAGGUGGGGGAGCUUCGGAACUCACGCGAUCAGAUGAGUCUAGGUCGGGUUAGCUAGUUGGUGGGGUAAGGGCUUACCAAGUGGGCGAUCCGUGACUGGUCUGAGAGGAUGAUCGGUCACACUGGAACUGGGACACGGUCCAGACUCCUACGGGAGGCAGCAGUGGGGAAUAUUGGACAAUGGGCGAAAGCCUGAUCCAGCCAUGCCGCGUGUGUGAAGAAGGUCUUCGGAUUGUAAAGCCCUUUAAGUUGGGAGGAAGGGCAGUAAGUUAAUACCUUGCUGUUUUGACGGUACCAACAGAAUAAGCACCGGCUAACUUCGUG